RNAcentral lists this long non-coding RNA (212 nucleotides) under Lathyrus oleraceus (garden pea). Its description in RNAcentral is "Pisum sativum (pea) long non-coding RNA (PSAT_LNC010473)". The record is from RNAcentral. Lineage: Eukaryota; Viridiplantae; Streptophyta; Magnoliopsida; Fabales; Fabaceae.
UGGACAAUAUUAUAGACUUGCAGCAUACCAUGAAAAAAAUAUCCUAAGGGUAAAAGAAUCAUGAACAAAAACAAGCUUUAAUAAAUUACAGACUUGUCUUCCAUUUCACUCAUGCGCAGUGCUUUUCUCAUCUCUAUGACAACAUGAUAACUAACCUUCAUCAAAUCCUUUCUCUCAUCAUCCAAAAACGGUUUCUACAAUUAAUACAUGUU